GAUGAAGAACGUAGCGAAAUGCGAUAAGUAAUACGAAUUGCAGAAUUCCAGUGAGUCAUCGAAUCUUUGAACGCACAUUGCGCCCUUUGGUAUUCCGAAGGGCAUGCCUGUUCGAGCGUCAUUAUCACCCCUCAAGCCCUCGGCUUGGUGUUGGACGGUUUGGUGGAGGCCCCCUCGGGGGCUCCUGCCCCUCCCAAAGACAAUGACGGCGGCCUCGUUGGACCCCCGGUACACUGAGUUCUUCACGGGACACGUAUCGGACACAUGGGUUUACGGGACACGGUCUGCCUCCCCUCAGGGAGAAUCUUUCUAAGGUUGACCUCGGAUCAGGUAGGGAUACCCGCUGAACUUAAGCAUAUCAAUAAGCGGAGGA
RNAcentral lists this unclassified non-coding RNA (373 nucleotides) under soil metagenome. RNAcentral describes it as "partial contains 5.8S ribosomal RNA, internal transcribed spacer 2, and large subunit ribosomal RNA". The stretch from base 1 to 121 matches the Rfam family "5.8S ribosomal RNA", at positions 35 to 154 of the family's 154-position model. The record is from RNAcentral.